Pteronotus mesoamericanus is the source of this 743-nucleotide long non-coding RNA. RefSeq lists it as uncharacterized. The record is from RefSeq and is a predicted model, not a curated record. The transcript is spliced from 3 exons. Lineage: Eukaryota; Metazoa; Chordata; Mammalia; Chiroptera; Mormoopidae.
CCCAGCCUCUCUCCCGGGAUCAGUGGGUCCCGUUUCCUUUCACAGGUGGAGUCGGAACACAGAAGCAGGAGGCCGGGGCUCCCAGCUUGACAAACUGCAUGUUUAACCUACGACCAUCACACAUAAUAAAACGUAGUCAUCGUCAACGAUCCUUGUGCCAACUCUCUCCUCUCCCUGAACGAAGGCCGAAGUCAAGGCAGAGUGUCUUAACAAUGCAAAAUAAAAAUGCUGAUCCAGAUAACCGAAUAUGAUGAAAGGGGAUGGAGGAAACCAGCCUUUUCAAGUUUCUCCAAAGCAAAGCAAGGAACAGCAGCUUCAUUCUUGCCCGUGUUGGCUGUGAUGAGGUGGACCCUGCGGCUCUACUCCACUUAUCGUCUCUUUCCUGUACGUGUCCUGAAGGAGAGGCCUACAGUAGGGAUGCUGUGUUCUCUCGACAAAGGGAAAGAACAAGAGGCAGAGCCAUGCCAUCAACUGCUCUUAAAGCUUCUCAGAGACAGCUUCUGUCAUGGCCAUUCAUAGUCCAUUGGCCAAAGCAAGUCACACGGCCAAGCCAGCAAGUGUCCCCUAGGAGCCACAUGUCAAUGCAUGGGGACGUGUAGUCCUCUUACAGGGAAGGCAGUGGACGAGAACAUGAAUGCAGUCAACCCCAGCUUCCAGAAGGCAGAGACACAGUAAUAGUCUGUAAGCCUUACACUACUGGAAAACGUUCUUUCAUUUAACAGAUUUUUAUUAAAUCACCCCUA